RNAcentral lists this transfer RNA (66 nucleotides) under Zyginella minuta. RNAcentral describes it as "tRNA-Thr". Lineage: Eukaryota; Metazoa; Arthropoda; Insecta; Hemiptera; Cicadellidae. The record is from RNAcentral.
GUUUUAAUAAUUUAAAAAAAAAUUUUGAUUUUGUAAAUCAAGUAUAGAGGGUAUAUCUUUAAAACA